This 498-nucleotide ribosomal RNA is filed under the name uncultured bacterium. RNAcentral's name for it is "bacterial SSU rRNA". It matches the Rfam family "Bacterial small subunit ribosomal RNA", at positions 232 to 746 of the family's 1533-position model. The record is from RNAcentral.
CGCGGCCUAUCAGCUUGUUGGCGGGGUAACGGCCCACCAAGGCAUCGACGGGUAGCUGGUCUGAGAGGACGAUCAGCCACACUGGGACUGAGACGCGGCCCAGACUCCUACGGGAGGCAGCAGUGGGGAAUAUUGCGCAAUGGGCGAAAGCCUGACGCAGCAACGCCGCGUGGGGGAUGAAGGCCUUCGGGUUGUAAACCCCUUUCAGCAGGGACGAAAAUGACGGUACCUGCAGAAGAAGCCCCGGCCAACUACGUGCCAGCAGCCGCGGUAACACGUAGGGGGCGAGCGUUGUCCGGAUUUAUUGGGCGUAAAGAGCUCGUAGGCAGUUGCGUAAGUCGGAUGUGAAAACUCAGGGCUCAACCCGGAGACGCCAUCCGAUACUGCGCUGACUAGAGUCCGGUAGGGGAGCAUGGAAUUCCUGGUGUAGCGGUGAAAUGCGCAGAUAUCAGGAGGAACACCAGUAGCGAAGGCGGUGCUCUGGGCCGGUACUGACGA